AAUCACAAUAGACUCGAGCUCCAUUAGCAACCUUAAGCAAUUUCACACAUGCGUUAAUUCAAGAAAUACCGUUUUAUCAUUUUGAACUUUAAUACCGUGAUAGGAAAUAGGGUGAGGGGUCCUUACUUGUUUUCGGGAUCCGAAUACGAUUCACAAUGCGCCUGCAGGCUGUCCCUAAUUUUUCCUGAAUUUUUCCCGGGGAACUGAAACACACUAACAGUACCUGCACGUGUUCCAAAAAAAAUCCAAAUUAGGCCCAGGGCCUCUUUCGGCCCAAAUCGCAACUCCGGCACGGCGGCUCCGCCGUGCUCCGGCGACGGCGCCGCCGCUGGCGACGGCGAGUCGCCUCGGGUUGACUGUUUUCGGUCGUUUUUGGCCGAAUUCGGCCACACUCGCAUUGGUCCUUGUCAGAAAACAACCCUAGGGCCCUCGGGGGGCCAAAAAAUCACGGAAAAGCGGAGCUUACCGGCGGCGGUGCUCUCGGGUACGGCGACUCUCCGGCGAGGUUCGUGUUUUGGUGAUUUGGCUUCGGUCAACCUGUAGAGAAAAGAAUGGUGAUCACGGUGAUAUAAAAAUUGCAUCGAACGGAGGCCGGGAAGGGCCUCGUCGGAGGCAAAAACCGAGAGGGGGCGCGGCGGCGCCGCUGGGCUUCGGCCGCGUAUUCCGGCCGUUUGGCCGGGAUUUCGGCUUCGAUUUGGCCAUAGGAGGAAUCAGUGGGGAAAAACGAGUCGGGGGUAUGAAAUUUACCUCGAUCGGCGGUCGGAAAUUUCCCCGGUGCGGCGGCGAGUGGCGGCGAGUGGCGGCGGUCGGCCUCUGGUUCGUCUUCUCCGGCGAGCGACUGGCGGCUAGGGUUUGUGCUCUGGUGUGGGGGUUCUAUUUAUAACCCCUUGCCUUUUGAUCACAGCCGUUCGUUUCGUUUUAAUCUGG
Molecule: long non-coding RNA, 927 nt
Filed under: Carica papaya (papaya)
Lineage: Eukaryota; Viridiplantae; Streptophyta; Magnoliopsida; Brassicales; Caricaceae
Description: long non-coding RNA (CPAP_LNC010519)
Source: RNAcentral